UGGGGAAUAUUGCGCAAUGGGGGGAACCCUGACGCAGCCAUGCCGCGUGAAUGAAGAAGGCCUUCGGGUUGUAAAGUUCUUUCGGUAUUGAGGAAGGUUGAUGUGUUAAUAGCACAUCAAAUUGACGUUAAAUACAGAAGAAGCACCGGCUAACUCCGUGCCAGCAGCCGCGGUAAUACGGAGGGUGCGAGCGUUAAUCGGAAUAACUGGGCGUAAAGGGCACGCAGGCGGUUAUUUAAGUGAGGUGUGAAAGCCCCGGGCUUAACCUGGGAAUUGCAUUUCAGACUGGGCAACUAGAGUACUUUAGGGAGGGGUAGAAUUCCACGUGUAGCGGUGAAAUGCGUAGAGAUGUGGAGGAAUACCGAAGGCGAAGGCAGCCCCUUGGGAAUGUACUGACGCUCAUGUGCGAAAGCGUGGGGAGCAAACAGGAUUAGAUACCCUGGUAGUCCACGCUGUAAACGCUGUCGAUUUGGGGGUUGGGGUUUAACUCUGGCGCCCGUAGCUAACGUGAUAAAUCGACCGCCUGGGGAGUACGGCCGCAAGGUUA
Molecule: ribosomal RNA, 547 nt
Filed under: uncultured bacterium
Lineage: Bacteria
Description: bacterial SSU rRNA
Rfam family: Bacterial small subunit ribosomal RNA
Source: RNAcentral